RNAcentral lists this long non-coding RNA (670 nucleotides) under Olea europaea subsp. europaea. Lineage: Eukaryota; Viridiplantae; Streptophyta; Magnoliopsida; Lamiales; Oleaceae. The record is from RNAcentral.
GCCAAGUCGCUAAACUCGAGUUUAUGGAAACUGGAUUCAAAAGUUUUUGAAUGGCUAGAUAGCAAAAAACCUGAGUCAGUCGUUUAUGUGAAUUACGGGAGCGUGACAACAAUGUCAGGCACUUAUUUUCAAGAAUUCGCGUGGGGGCUCGCAAACAGCAAGCAACCUUUUCUCUGGAUUGUUAGGCCGGACAUUGUGAAAGGCGGAUCAGCAAUGUUGCCUGAAGAAUUUCUCGAGGAGAUUGAGGAUAGAGGAUUGUUAAUAAGCUGGUGUGCACAGGAUCAGGUGUUGGAACACCCUGCUGUAGGUUCAUUCUUGACACAUUGUGGAUGGAAUUCGAUGAUGGAAAGCAUAUGUGCGGGUGUGCCAGUGAUCUGCUGGCCUUUUUUUGCUGAUCAGCAAACAAAUUGUCACUAUUCGUGCUCAAAAUGGGGAAUUGGGAUCGAGAUCGAUCAUUUUGUGAAGCGCGAUGAAGUUGCGCAAUUGGUUAGGGAAAUGAUGGGAGGUGAGAAAGGUAGGAAAAUGAGAACCGAGGCUAAGGAAUGGAAGAAAAUAGCACAAGAAGCUACUGAUGUUGGGGGAUCAUCUCAUGUCAACUUUGAUAAGUUCAUCAAGGAAGCUCUACAUUUUCAAGAUUGAUUAAGGGAUCAGAAAAUUGUACCUUUAAAAC